GACGAACGCUGGCGGCGUGCCUAAUACAUGCAAGUCGAGUGGGGGUGGUGAGGUAGGUUACUAUUGAGCCACCCUAGCGGCGGACGGGUGAGUAACGCGUGGGCAACCUGCCCUGUAGGCUGGGAUAACAGGUCGAAAGGCCUGCUAAUACCGGAUGAGCUCGCGGGGUCGCAUGGCCUUGUGAGGAAAGGGGAGACCCGCUACAGGAUGGGCCCGCGUCCCAUUAGCUAGUUGGUGAGGUAACGGCUCACCAAGGCGACGAUGGGUAGCCGGCCUGAGAGGGCGACCGGCCACACUGGAACUGAGACACGGUCCAGACUCCUACGGGGGGCAGCAGUAGGGAAUCUUCGGCAAUGGGCGAAAGCCUGACCGAGCGACGCCGCGUGAGGGAAGAAGGUCUUCGGAUUGUAAACCUCUGUCUAGGGGGACGAGGAAGGACGGUACCCCUGGAGGAAGCCCCGGCUAACUACGUG
This 473-nucleotide ribosomal RNA is filed under the name uncultured organism. RNAcentral describes it as "bacterial SSU rRNA". It matches the Rfam family "Bacterial small subunit ribosomal RNA", at positions 28 to 507 of the family's 1533-position model. The record is from RNAcentral.